GACGGGGGGGGCAAGCGUUGUUCGGAAUUACUGGGCGUAAAGGGCUCGUAGGCGGCCAACUAAGUCAGACGUGAAAUCCCUCGGCUUAACCGGGGAACUGCGUCUGAUACUGGAUGGCUUGAGAUUGGGAGAGGGAUGCGGAAUUCCAGGUGUAGCGGUGAAAUGCGUAGAUAUCUGGAGGAACACCGGUGGCGAAGGCGGCAUCCUGGACCAACACUGACGCUGAGGAGCGAAAGCCAGGGGAGCAAACGGG
This 253-nucleotide ribosomal RNA is filed under the name uncultured bacterium. RNAcentral's name for it is "partial 16S ribosomal RNA". It matches the Rfam family "Bacterial small subunit ribosomal RNA", at positions 524 to 776 of the family's 1533-position model. The record is from RNAcentral.